This 204-nucleotide long non-coding RNA is filed under the name Homo sapiens (human). RNAcentral describes it as "non-protein coding lnc-ARHGAP6-7:5". Lineage: Eukaryota; Metazoa; Chordata; Mammalia; Primates; Hominidae. The record is from RNAcentral.
AUUCUGAAGAAAUUGCGAAGGCUAUUAAUUUUUACAAACCAACAAAACUUAGAGAGUAACCUCACCAACCUUAUUAAGAGGAACACAGAACUGGAGACCCUUUUGGCUAAACUCAUCCAAACCUGUCAACAUGUUGACUGGAAUGUUCUGUACUGUUUCCCAGAGUUGCCCAAUGGGGUUAAUCUCCAGUUGCCCAAGGUGGUC